CCGCGGUAAUACGAAGGGUGCAAGCGUUACUCGGAAUUACUGGGCGUAAAGCGUACGCAGGCGGCGCGUUAAGUCGGGUGUGAAAGCCCGGGGCUCAACCCCGGAACGGCAUUCGAUACUGGCGCGCUUGAGUACGGGAGAGGGGAGCGGAAUUCCUGGUGUAGAGGUGAAAUUCGUAGAUAUCAGGAGGAACAUCAGUGGCGAAAGCGGCUCCCUGGUCCGAUACUGACGCUCAUGUACGAAAGCGUGGGGAGCAAACAGG
This 262-nucleotide ribosomal RNA is filed under the name uncultured bacterium. Its description in RNAcentral is "partial 16S ribosomal RNA". It matches the Rfam family "Bacterial small subunit ribosomal RNA", at positions 515 to 776 of the family's 1533-position model. The record is from RNAcentral.